UCAUGCUGUGGGAUCACAGAGGAAGGCUGUUCUUCUCUGGGAUCAGCUCUGAAGUCAAACCCCUCCAGUCUCAGAGAACUGGAUCUGAGUAGAAACCAGCUGCAGGAUUCAGGAGUGAAGCUGCUGACUGGUUUUCUGGAGAGUCCACAUUAUAGACUGGAGACUCUGAGAUGGGAGUGGUGAGCUGAGUGCUGAUGAUCCAGAGAGCAUCUGGUCUUGUUCUGACGUUCCAACGCUUGUUUUGCUGAUGUUUCUGCCGCUUCGUUUCCCUUUACCCGUCUCUGUGCUGGCACCCACAUGAAUGCCACCAAAAUACCACCUGACUAAGUGGGAGCAGUGUUUCCUAGAUGUCGUUGAUUAUAUCCUGCCUGCUAUGAGAUGUGACUGUAAUGAUGAUAACGCUGAACUGGAAUCUGAACCAAUGACAACCUUUCUGACCUGAAGCUCCUCCACCCACUGCAGCGCUGGUCAGACGGCCAAAGCCUCAACUGUCAACACGACAGAUGGUCUGAUGACCUUCGUCUGACCUCAUAGUUAAAGGAACGAUAACUGCAAAUCCAGUUCUCCCUGUAUUGGGCUCUUUAGAUCCAUCUGUGUCCGCCGGGGUAAACGAUUGAUCUGCUGUCUGCAGUGUCUCCUCUUCUCCUCCUUGUCUAGUUGUUGUCUUUGGUUCCGUCUUCCCUGUGCCUGGAUAUUCUUGACCUGCCUGUUUGACCCUGCCUGCUUGCCCUGACCCCGAUUCCCUGCCUGCCCCCUUUUGGACAUUUUUUUUUUGGAACUUUUGUCUGAUUAAAGAGUCUUUUUGUUAUUCACAUCUGAGUCCUGCCUGUCUCUCUGCGCCUGAGCCCCACCCCGUGACAAGAACCUGACAAAUAUGAUAUUAUGGCAUAAAAAGUCAUUACAAAUAAUAGUAUAAGAUGUAAAAAAAAUAGCCUUUAAAAAAGUAUCUCAUAAGUCCUCAUUUGUAUGUCAUAACAAAUCAACUAUGUCAUAGUAUGGCAUUUAAAUUUGAUAUCAAAAUAUAUCAUAAGAGUCAUAAUAUUGUUAGACAUAGAAAUGUCACAAGACAUGCCACAGUAGAGUAUGUCGUAAAAACACAUGAACGUCACACGCCAAGAUAGCGCCGUUAUUCUGAUCGCUUCUUAGAGUUUCAGCAGUUAUAUUACAUUUGGUUUUUUUGCCGUUUUUUUACGCUGUCAGUAGUUGUUCUUUUUAUAUAAACUUUAGAAUUAGAGUGCGUGAACCCAGCAGCAGAGCGGAAACGCUGCCCCCUGUCUGCCUGGAGCAGAUUUGACAGUCGUUACACAUUGCACCUUCAAAUGCUGAUGAUUUAUUCUUGAAUAAAUGUAUUGUUCACUUUAAAUGUGUUGUUCACUUUAACACGUGAAUGGAGGAAGUCUCACAACAAAUGACACAAUGGUACUUCUAUGAAACGGGACUGAAACUUUGAUUUUAUUUCAGGGAAUUCAAUGAAAAUGGUAGAAUGUGAAAAGUGAAGCAGCGACGUCUGAAUGCAGAUUCAUAUUUAUACACUGAGAAGAUUAAAUACCUUAAAUUACGCUCUAGAUUAGUUGUAUUUUUUUCUCAUUGGUGAGUAUUUGUUCUGUAUGUAAAUGCCUGCUGGGACGUCUGUGUUUCAGUUUUGUUUGUUUGGGGGGGGAGAAAUCUACUAUUUACUGUUUUAUCAUAUUCAUUCAUAGCUCUGUCUCUCUGAAUUUUGAGAAUUCAAAAUGUGGAAUGAUUUAAUAAGAUAUAAACCAAGCUGCCUGAAAUAAGAAGCAUCAAAUAGUGAAUAACUGGUCAACUUAAAAGGAAUGUGGAACCUUUAAAUCCCAAGAAAUGUAAUUCAUAAGUUGGGAGCAAAAACAAAGAAGCGUAAAAUAUUUACACACACAUAUUCAGUGUGAACAAUGACAACAAUAUGACACAACGAGAAGAAGAGUUGAAGACAUUAAUGUGUUGAAGGCGACCUCUUGUUUCUAUGAUUUCAUUGUUGAGACGUAAGAACAAAACAAUGCGUUGGGACGACUCCGACUUCGCUCCUGACAAACAGAUGUGUUGCAGCAACAUGUAACUGCAACGACUCUGAAUAAUAAUAACUUCAUCAUAUAUAAUAAAUAACUUGAGCUUUC
Molecule: long non-coding RNA, 2132 nt
Organism: Pseudoliparis swirei
Lineage: Eukaryota; Metazoa; Chordata; Actinopteri; Perciformes; Liparidae
Exons: 2
Source: RefSeq, a predicted model, not a curated record